GCGGGCGUGGCGGAACGGCAGACGCACCAGACUUAGGAUCUGGCGGGGCGACCCGUGGAGGUUCAAAUCCUCUCGCCCGCA
RNAcentral lists this transfer RNA (81 nucleotides) under Anaerosporomusa subterranea. It matches the Rfam family "tRNA". Rfam says of the family: Transfer RNA (tRNA) molecules are approximately 80 nucleotides in length. Their secondary structure includes four short double-helical elements and three loops (D, anti-codon, and T loops). The record is from Rfam by way of RNAcentral. Lineage: Bacteria; Bacillati; Bacillota; Negativicutes; Acetonemataceae.